Long non-coding RNA from Mesocricetus auratus (golden hamster), 1329 nucleotides. RefSeq lists it as uncharacterized. The record is from RefSeq and is a predicted model, not a curated record. The transcript is spliced from 3 exons. NCBI's taxonomy places the organism in Eukaryota, Metazoa, Chordata, Mammalia, Rodentia, Cricetidae.
UUGCUUCUCUGUUCAGGCUGCUCAUGGGGCCUCCACUUGUCUUGUUGGGAGAAGUGUUUUCCAAUCACUUAAAACCAGGAAAUCUCAUAUUUAAGAAAAAAUAAUUAGGUAUAUUAUUUAACCCCUUUUGUUCGAGACACAGUUACAGGAAGCCAGAAGUAUGGGGCAAUUUUUUUUUAAAGAGUACAGUUAUUUUAAUUUGCUGAUAAACUAAAGUCCUUCUCUAAGUUUCUUCUCAAGCAUAAUCUAUUUUAUUAAAAAGUGAAGGCCGACUAGCCCCUAAGACUCUGACCCAUCUUCAUAUUGACUCAUCUGGAAAUAGCCAAGUUCCUAAAUCUCCUUGCGACCACGGAAAACCAACCACAGAGACUCUUCUUCUUAAGGGAUUUCGUGGAUAUCUGAUUCAGUAUGCUCGGAGUUCUGGGCUCCACCCCGAAAUAGUCCUCAGUACUGCUGCUGCUGCUGCUACUAUCCAAGGGACCUCAUCCUGACAACCACUGGCCUAAAAUAACUAUAGAACCAAUACAGGAAGUUGCUUCCCACAUGGCCCUUUCCGAAGCAUAGCCGGCACCUGCCCUCGCAUCAGCGGAGGAAGCCAAGGUUCACCACACAGAUGGCCACAGCCCUGAUGGACAAGGGAGCCAUGCGGAGAGCAAGCCGCUGGCAAGACUGCUCAAGUCCUGCAAGCGAGGGACACGGAGGAGGACACGCAUCUUAAUUGUCGUCAUGGAAAAACAUCUCCCAGAUGCUGAGUUGGUUGUAAGUGCCAUCUGUCCUGCCCCAGAGGACUGAAGGGAAGGACACCGUUGUCUGAACCCAGGGGCAAUGCGGGCAGCAAGACGAGCUGUUAGUACGCUCUCGUCCGCACUCCACCUGACAGCCGCCUUCCAGAGACCCUGCCUAAGGCCUCUAGUUUGAAGUCAAGUGACUGGCACUGUGGCAGGUCUCUCAUUCUCUUGUGUUUGGUUGCAUUCACUAGAGAGAAUUCUGGAAAGGAUGAGAGUUUAACGUCUCCGGCCUUAUCCUGGAAGGUUUUAAGUCAGCGCAUGCUGCUAUCUGACAUUUGAAGAAAUGAAGUACUUCAUUCUGGCCGUGGGUUCUUUCGUACAGCCCCUUUUGUUUGUUCCACACACAAUGAGUGGGUCCUUUAUGCCAGGCGCAGGGGACACAAGGAGAGAUGUGACACUAUUUCUGAAAUCUGGAUAUUUACUGUAGCAAGGAGUGUGGCCUGUAAAGACAAGAGGCAAUAAGAUGUGGCAAACAGAAAAUAGAGGUUUAGACGUUUCUGGGCCUACAGGGGAGGGGGAAAUAAAAACCCCUCAGGGAUGU